GGAACCGAUAUUUUAAUGAAUUUGGAAGGAAUACACAGAGCUAUCGAAAUUUCAUGCGACGUUACAAAACAUUAGUGUUCUCUGAGCUAUCGAAAGAGAAACAACUUAAUUCUUUAACAUUUAUAUAUUUUAUUCAAAUAUUGGCCUCAGUUUUCGGUUUCAGAUUUUUUUCUAUUCCAUGAAGUGAACUUUGGUAAUAAAUUUCAAGUGAAACUGAGAGGAAACGUGUUUCGUAUAAAAUUCGCCCAAGACUGAAUUGAUUCCUAUUUAUUAAUUGGUAUCGUCCAAAGGUCUUCAAUCGAAAUUAGCUUUAAAGAUGAAUUCUGUUCGAAUAGCGGGGAUUCUGUUGGGCUGCGCAAUUUCCAUGGGGUGGUACAUUCAAUUUAUCUGUCAAUUGUAUAUUUCAUACAGUUCAAUACUUGAAAACCUUUUAUGCGGGAUUAAUUGUUUCGCAUGGACUGCAUGGACAAUUGGAACAUUCAAAAUUAAUUUCAAAUAUAAAACGAUGUUUCUAUGGUUAUCGAUGAGUUGGAUUAGCAUACAUUUCGUCGUUUUUCUUUUGAUUUUCUUCCCCCUAGAAAAGAUAGAGAUUCCUUUUUAUAGGAUCUCGUUCAUAUUUGUAAUUGUGAUACAUUCGAGCCUUGUCAAACUUUCGCAUCUGAUCUUCUUAUCUUUGGAGGAUGAUUCAUGGUCGUCAUAUGAGUGCAGAUAUGUGAAUACAUCAAAUCAAAACAGACGACACCGGCGUUAUGAUGAUAUUACUGGUUCUGUAUCUGUAUCCGUUGACAACCUAGAUGACAAUAAUACAACACAUCAUCAUUGGACGACAGAUUUACACCAUUCUGAUUCGCAUGACACACAUCGGGCACACUCUCACUCCACUCAUCACGAUACACACACAUUUUCGCAUGAUACAUCUCAUCAUGGUUGCGACUCGGGUGGUGGAUAUGAUGGUGGUUGCGACUCGGGUGGUGGAUAUGAUGGUGGUUGCGACGCAGGUGGUUAUGAUUGAAAAAACUGAUAUGAGCGACCAAUGGAUUUAUUUAUAAAUGCAUUGUUACAAACCACUAGAACUUAGAUUUUGCAAUAAAGUAACAGGAACAGAUAUGUACAUAGGUUCGUCGUGUCUCUCAGUGUUGUCAACAUUCAAAUGUUUUCUAAAUGAACGUAACUUAACUGUUGAAAUUGAAAAUU
Molecule: long non-coding RNA, 1194 nt
Organism: Sitodiplosis mosellana (orange wheat blossom midge)
Lineage: Eukaryota; Metazoa; Arthropoda; Insecta; Diptera; Cecidomyiidae
Exons: 5
Source: RefSeq, a predicted model, not a curated record